AGUUCCCUCUGUCAUAAUCUGGAAUGAUGAUAUCAAUCAAGUGAAGCAGCUAUCACAGGGUCUGGAACAUAUUAGGUUCUGUCAAUAGAAGAUACUAAAGAAAGAAAGCCAGGAGAAGAAAAGGGACUUCUUUCUUCAAGGUCUAAGCUGUUCUAAUAGCAUUAUUCUGGGAAUGGCAUCUUCCACUCCUCCUAGUACAAAGAACCUGCUUCCUCAUACCCCGUCAAGGAACUGCAGCAUCCAGGUGAUGGCCACAGUGGCAGAACCUAGGAAGCCAAGAAGAAACCAGAGAAUGGAGACACAUGGCAGCAAUGGCAAGUCAUCAGACCCAGGAUUUCCCAAAGAACACUGGUCCAGGAAGAUGCUCUGUGAAAAAGUGUUCCCUGGUCGGAGAAAUUUGUGAAACACUUUGCAUAAUACUUAAAAGAAUGUAUGGCACAUCAAAGGUAAUAUGCAAUAAAAGAAUUCAUUUUUUUAAAA
Molecule: long non-coding RNA, 480 nt
Filed under: Homo sapiens (human)
Lineage: Eukaryota; Metazoa; Chordata; Mammalia; Primates; Hominidae
Description: HSALNT0394445
Source: RNAcentral